CCUACGGGUGGCAGCAGUGGGGAAUAUUGCACAAUGGGGGAAACCCUGAUGCAGCGACGCCGCGUGAGUGAAGAAGUAUUUCGGUGUGUAAAGCUCUAUCAGCAGGGAAGAAGUAAGACGGUACCUGACUACGAAGCCCCGGCUAACUACGUGCCAGUCGGCGCGGUAAUACGUAGGGGGCAAGCGUUAUCCGGGUUUACUGGGGGUAAAGGGAGCGUAGACGGCUGUGCAGGUCUUAAGUGAAAGCCCAGGGCUCAACCCUGGGAUUGCUUUGGAAACUGUGGAGCUAGAGUGCUGGAGAGGUAAGUGGAAUUCCUAGUGUAGCGGUGAAAUGCGUAGAUAUUAGGAGGAACACCAGUGGCGAAGGCGGCUUACUGGACAGUAACUGACGUUGAGGCUCGAAAGCGUGGGGAGCAAACAGGAUUAGAUACCCUUGUAGUC
RNAcentral lists this ribosomal RNA (441 nucleotides) under uncultured bacterium. Its description in RNAcentral is "partial 16S ribosomal RNA". It matches the Rfam family "Bacterial small subunit ribosomal RNA", at positions 338 to 795 of the family's 1533-position model. The record is from RNAcentral.